Spodoptera litura is the source of this 1504-nucleotide non-coding RNA. Lineage: Eukaryota; Metazoa; Arthropoda; Insecta; Lepidoptera; Noctuidae. The record is from RefSeq and is a predicted model, not a curated record.
UAUUAAACACGAGUGGAGGACAACACUUGAUAAGUUAAAUUGCUGCCUUUUAUUACACUUGACGGAUUAUCAAAAGGAAACGGACCGAUAUUACUGGUUCGUUAACAAUUAGUACCUAAUACGAAGGUAUAUAAAAUAAAACGGUGCCCUCCCAGUGAUAGUGCGCCACUCGGCUACAAGUGCAACAGUUAACCGUACAGUUAAUCAAUCAAUUAUGGAUUACAAACUCGUUUUUUUCGUCGCUUUGAUGAUGGCGUCAGCUAUGAGUGCCUCGCGGGGUCCAUCUUGCCCCUGUCCAAAAAUAUACAUGCCUGUGUGUGCUAUGGUGUCCAAUCGUAAAACCACAUUCAACAGCAUGUGUGAAUACCAAUGCGAACAAAACUUCGUCUUACACAAUGGAGGGACCAUGGAGUUACUUUACACUGGAUCACGGUGUCAAUAAGCUGUACCGCGUCUUCCCUUUGCCUAACCUUACCUCUCUUUGUUUUUAAAUAUAUUUUUUUUUAUUUACAGCACAGAGUUUUUUUUUCACUUUUUGUAAUGUUGCCAGAGCACUUAUUUAUUUUUAUAUUAAUUUAUUAUGUAUUUAUUUUACAGCAAUGUUUAUAUCGCAAAUUAGAUAGAUAAGUAGGCUUUGCACUUAUCCUCUAAUUAAACAAGAAACACACAAUGGUAUCUAUUAUUUUAAAGUCGAACUGAAUUUGUAACACACAAGUUUUAACGCAUAAUUUCUGAUUGGGCAAACCCAAUAGACCUGAUAGGUCCUAAGGCCAACCAAGGAGAUAAACCACGAAUGCUGUGUGGGCUGUUGAACGGUAACGCAUCCACAGCCUGCUCUAGACAAACAUAGUAGUUCAAUUAAAAGCAAUAGUAGAUAGGUAUCUACCAUGUUACCUUUAGGUACGCGCUCUUAAGCAUUUCAAACUAGUUUUGUUAUUGCUCCAGCUGUUUUCCAUAAACAUACCACUUAGAUAUCACAACACGAAAACAAUUAUCUAAUUCGGACUAGCAGUUUCUGAUAUUCCCUACCUUUAGAAAAAUACUAUAACGGAAAAUGCGCCAACAAUACAAUAUUUAUUUAUUUAAUACAAGAAUCUGCAAUUCUGCAUUGUUUGCAAUCCAUCAUUAGCACCAUACCCACCAAUUCCCGAUUGCACUGCAGCACUAAGGCACCGAGCGAGUAUUAUGGGAGCGAAUAUGAUGUAUUUUUCAUUUUUGUCGUGGUGGCUUUCCUAGCCACGGUAUCGGAGGCUAAGGGACCAAGCUGGACUGGGGUCGACUGUAUAUGUACCACGGAGUAUGAUCCGGUCUGCGGCUCUGACAUGGUCAGGUACAGCAACUACUGCGUGUUCAAAUGCAGGGUCCAAUACCUGAAGGACAAAGGCCUCCCGCCCAUCUACCAAGUUCCUUGCUACGAUCUACCUCCACUCUUUGGAUAAAAUGCUUGGCAGUUACUGAUGUGAUGUAAAUUGUGAACCACUAUUCGUUAACUAUUCUUAUUAAA